AACCCGUAGAUCCGAACUUGUGAUGAUAGUCCACACAAGCUUGUGUCUAUAGGUAUG
MicroRNA precursor from Physeter macrocephalus (sperm whale), 57 nucleotides. NCBI's taxonomy places the organism in Eukaryota, Metazoa, Chordata, Mammalia, Artiodactyla, Physeteridae. The record is from Ensembl.